AUGAACGCUGGCGGCGUGCCUAAUACAUGCAAGUCGAGCGAACAGAUGAGGAGCUUGCUCCUCUGACGUUAGCGGCGGACGGGUGAGUAACACGUGGAUAACCUACCUAUAAGACUGGGAUAACUUCGGGAAACCGGAGCUAAUACCGGAUAAUAUAUUGAACCGCAUGGUUCAAUAGUGAAAGACGGUUUUGCUGUCACUUAUAGAUGGAUCCGCGCCGCAUUAGCUAGUUGGUAAGGUAACGGCUUACCAAGGCAACGAUGCGUAGCCGACCUGAGAGGGUGAUCGGCCACACUGGAACUGAGACACGGGCCAGACUCCUACGGGAGGCAGCAGUAGGGAAUCUUCCGCAAUGGGCGAAAGCCUGACGGAGCAACGCCGCGUGAGUGAUGAAGGUCUGCGGAUCGUAAAACUCUGUUAUUAGGGAAGAACAAAUGUGUAAGUAACUAUGCACGUCUUGACGGUACCUAAUCAGAAAGCCACGGCUAACUACGGG
This 496-nucleotide ribosomal RNA is filed under the name uncultured bacterium. RNAcentral's name for it is "partial 16S ribosomal RNA". It matches the Rfam family "Bacterial small subunit ribosomal RNA", at positions 29 to 507 of the family's 1533-position model. The record is from RNAcentral.